This 1306-nucleotide small RNA is filed under the name Histoplasma ohiense. RNAcentral describes it as "hypothetical lncRNA". Lineage: Eukaryota; Fungi; Ascomycota; Eurotiomycetes; Onygenales; Ajellomycetaceae. The record is from RNAcentral.
ACUCGCCCCAACACAGUCUCUUUUCUCGAUACCCUUCCCUUUGCUCAUUGUCUUCCCCAUUCCCUCUUCUACCAUCCAUGCUCUUCAAAAACAGUCCAAAUGACAAUCAACAAAGCGAUCCAGCUACAAGAUUCAGUGGUCUUUGACAGUCGUUUGCGAGACCGGGAAUCCGAGUCCCGUCACUGUGGAUUUCCACUGCAGGUUUCUGCUGAGAUCCAGGAGGCUUAUCUUUACUUUUGUGUUAGGAGGUAGUUGGAGAAAUUCGGGGGCGGAAUUUAUGCUCACGAUUGGCGCAGAAGCGCCCACCACUCAAAGCCCAGUUGUUACAUCCAGCUUGUACGCACUUCUCUGCUAUUUUGCUCGAAAGACCGGGGUGUGAUCAGAAGUGGAUGACCUUUGUUGUUGAGUAUCGGAUGUUGCUAUAAGCCAGGUACUAGAGAAGAUGCAUGAAAACAGAAAGAAUAUUGACGGGAAGGUCACCCAUCUAUCUAUAUAUAACGGGAGGCUGGCAGAUUGCAUUGGCAAUCUGCGAGAAAUCGAGUUGAUGUCCGCGGCUCUUGAGAGCUAGUCCACGCUGUGCUCUCUACAAUGAUGUGUUUUGUAGUGGACCGGCUAUGGGGUAAGUAGUUACACAGCAACGUGUCCACCCACCUUCCAUCCAGUGGGAGGACAAUACGACGAUCGCCGGCCCGUCCCGUCCUUCAAGGAAGGACUCCUCCGUACGCUAGUCCACAGCGGUACUAGCUUGAUCACUGAAGUGGUGGCGGAAAACAAUAUUGCUCGGAAUCUACUAGCGAAUGACCUUGAAUCAUUUUUCUGGGUGGUUUUUUCGGUAUGAUGGUCCCAGGAAAGGUUAGGUUCGGGUGUGAAACUACGUAAAUACAAAGAAGCUGGCUGAUGAGAAGGAAGGGUGACUAGUGACAAAGGAGACUUUCUCAGAACUUUUGAAGAUCGGAUACUUUCUAUUUGGUGAACUUACCUCCUAGCCAUCAACCUCAAGCCGCUACUGGAAACCCGGGCAAGUACUGUACAUAUCCAUUGCUGCAUUUCUGGUUCAAUGUCUGGUUCUGAUAAAUUGAUGCCAAUGCGCUCGGCCAAACACUCCAUACACUUCUUAUAUUUCCAGAUUUCAGCAAUGAGCUUGCAAUUCACUUCUCUCAAAUUUCCUCUUUCCUUUUCAUACUGACAAAUCAGCACUUCCUUCGUCGCUAAAAGUGCACAAUUCUGAGAUUCAAGGGGUUGAUACUCUCAUCUCGAGCGUCGUUGUAUGUUUUCCUUGGUCGAUUAUCUGUGCUAUCUUCGCGGC